Non-coding RNA from Lipotes vexillifer (Yangtze River dolphin), 73 nucleotides. Lineage: Eukaryota; Metazoa; Chordata; Mammalia; Artiodactyla; Lipotidae. The record is from the annotation of a RefSeq genome assembly.
UCCCUGGUGGUCCAGCGGUUAGGACUCAGUGCUUCCACUGCUGGGACCCCGGGUUCGAUCCCUGGCCGGGGAA